Molecule: small RNA, 399 nt
Filed under: Vigna angularis var. angularis
Lineage: Eukaryota; Viridiplantae; Streptophyta; Magnoliopsida; Fabales; Fabaceae
Description: Non-protein coding transcript
Source: RNAcentral
CAAAAAUAUAAUAUUUAAGUUUGUGUAUGCAGGAAUGGCCUUGUUGCCCAAAGCUGCAAUCUCCAAGGGAAUGAGCCCUUAUGUGUUUGUCGUUUAUAGAGAAGCCUUUGCAUCACUUGCUCUCUCUCCAUUUGCUUUCUUUGACAGGUGAAUUUCUCCAUGCUUCCCAACCUUCUCGAACACACUAAGAAGUUUCCUAAGCAUAAUUGUUGAUCUCAACCCGGUUGUGAUCAUGCACUCAUUCAUGAGCGAUCUACCCAAACCUUUUCUAGAUUCUCUCUUCAUAAAGAGCCCAGAUAGCCUGGACGAACUCAGAAAACAUGCGGCCAAAUAUAAGGCCAUUGAAGAAAAUAGAUUGAAGAGAGUAAAGCAGCAACCCGACAUCCCGACAUCCCGACA